This 468-nucleotide ribosomal RNA is filed under the name Triticum aestivum (bread wheat). Its description in RNAcentral is "partial small subunit ribosomal RNA". The record is from RNAcentral. Lineage: Eukaryota; Viridiplantae; Streptophyta; Magnoliopsida; Poales; Poaceae.
AUGCAUAGGACAGCGCAUGACCUGAAGAUUUCGGCAAGGACACUCUUCAGUGAUGCAAAAGUUCAGUUCCACUUGGCGUGCGAAGUGAUCUUGCGGCUUGAUGUUGCUCAAGAGAGAAGAGGACUGACACAAAAUGAAUACUGGUUAAGGAAACAACUGAAACUCAGGAUCCUUGGCCUGGCUGCAGUGGAGAGAGCAAGGAAAAGACAAGCCUCAAGGAUAACCUGGCUCAGGGCGGGGGAUGCACGAACGGCUUUCUUCCAACAAAAAAUCAAUUCCAGAAGGAGGAAGAAUUUUAUUUAUUCUCUGCAAACAGACACGAUUACAACCACAGCUCAUGAUGAAAAAGCAGCAAUUGCUCACAACCAUCUUGCUAACCUGUUGGGAAGAAAAGAGGAAAGGCAGUGCUCCAUCAACUGGGAGGAAUUGGAUAUGCCAAAUUUACAAAACGAGGGGCCGGAUAACCCU